This 505-nucleotide long non-coding RNA is filed under the name Mus spicilegus (steppe mouse). RNAcentral describes it as "lncRNA (ENSMSIG00000025565.1)". The record is from RNAcentral. Lineage: Eukaryota; Metazoa; Chordata; Mammalia; Rodentia; Muridae.
CAGAACUCAAUGACUAAAAGUGACAUGCAGAGAUGGUCCCAGUCAUGUGCCAUUCAUCAGGAGACAUGGAUGCUGUGCUGGGUGCUUGCGGCUGUCUAAUGAUGACGUCUGCCUGUUUCCUCAAGCUAGAGUGAAGGGGACCGUGCAGAAGAAAUCAGAAGCACUGAAGGACAGGUUACAAGAGCAGCUGAAACAAGACGCCAGUUCUGGUCUGAGGGAGUGGUCUGGCUUACGAGUCUGGCCACUCAGUUAUGAUUGACACAAGUCUACACAUCAUGGCAGCUGAAGAGCAACCAAAGACAAAGUAAGUCAAUAUCCCCAGGUCACUUUAGCUACCUGAUGGUGACCAGUCUACCUUCCUGGCAGGGGAAACCAAGUCUUGAUAUAUUAAAUGAAUAACUAAGACAAUGAAUUAAGCAACCAUUCCUGAUCCUAGCUGUCAACUGAUGUAUUUGGGGUUUUUUAGGGGUUUUUUUUAGGGUUUUUUUUGGGGGGGGGUAGGGAC